RNAcentral lists this ribosomal RNA (465 nucleotides) under uncultured soil bacterium. RNAcentral describes it as "bacterial SSU rRNA". It matches the Rfam family "Bacterial small subunit ribosomal RNA", at positions 26 to 484 of the family's 1533-position model. The record is from RNAcentral.
AGAUUGAACGCUGGCGGCAGGCCUAACACAUGCAAGUCGAGCGGCAGCACGGGUACUUGUACCUGGUGGCGAGCGGCGGACGGGUGAGUAAUGCCUAGGAAUCUGCCUGAUAGUGGGGGAUAACGUUCGGAAACGGACGCUAAUACCGCAUACGUCCUACGGGAGAAAGUGGGGGAUCUUCGGACCUCACGCUAUCAGAUGAGCCUAGGUCGGAUUAGCUAGUUGGAGGUAAAGGCCUACCAAGGCUACGAUCCGUAACUGGUCUGAGAGGAUGAUCAGUCACACUGGAACUGAGACACGGUCCAGACUCCUACGGGAGCAGCAGUGGGAAUAUGGACAAUGGGCGAAAGCCUGAUCCAGCCAUGCCGUCGUGUGGUGAAGAAGGUCUUCGGAUUGUAAAGCUACUUUAAGUUGGAGUAAGGCAAUUAACCUAAUACGUUUAGUAGUUUUAGACGUUACCGAAUA